GUGGGAGGGGGCUUGCUCCCGAUAGCAGUGUGUCAGUCAGUACAUUUGAUACUGACACUCUGCUAUCGGGAGCAAGCCCCCUCCCAC
This 87-nucleotide unclassified non-coding RNA is filed under the name Pseudomonas synxantha. Lineage: Bacteria; Pseudomonadati; Pseudomonadota; Gammaproteobacteria; Pseudomonadales; Pseudomonadaceae. The record is from RNAcentral.